AAUAUUGGACAAUGGGCGAAAGCCUGAUCCAGCCAUGCCGCGUGUGUGAAGAAGGUCUUCGGAUUGUAAAGCACUUUAAGUUGGGAGGAAGGGCAGUAAGUUAAUACCUUGCUGUUUUGACGUUACCGACAGAAUAAGCACCGGCGAACUUCGUGCCAGCAGCCGCGGUAAUACGAAUGUUGCAAGCUUUAAUCGGAAUUACUGGGAGUAAAGAACGAGUAGGUGGUUUGUUAAGUUAGAAGUGAAAGCAACGGGAUCAACCUGGGAAAUGCUUUAAUAAAUGCUGAGCUAGAGUAAGGUAGAGGGUAGUGGAAUUUCCUGUGUAGCGGUGAAAUGCGUAGAUAUAGGAAGGAACACCAGUGGCGAAGGCGACUACCUGGACUGAUACUGACACUGAGGUGCGAAAGCGUGGGGAGCAAACAGG
RNAcentral lists this ribosomal RNA (424 nucleotides) under uncultured bacterium. Its description in RNAcentral is "partial 16S ribosomal RNA". It matches the Rfam family "Bacterial small subunit ribosomal RNA", at positions 360 to 776 of the family's 1533-position model. The record is from RNAcentral.